GACGAACGCUGGCGGCGUGCUUAACACAUGCAAGUCGAACGGUGAAGCGCCUUCCUUUUUGGUGGGUGUGGAUGAGUGGCGAACGGGUGAGUAACACGUGAGUAACCUGCCCCCUUCUUCUGGAUAACCGCAUGAAAGUGUGGCUAAUACGGGAUAUUCUGGGUCUGUCGCAUGAUGGGUCUGGGAAAGAUAUUGUUUCGGUGGGGGAUGGGCUCGCGGCCUAUCAGCUUGUUGGUGGGGUGAUGGCCUACCAAGGCGGUGACGGGUAGCCGGCCUGAGAGGGUGGACGGUCACACUGGGACUGAGACACGGCCCAGACUCAUACGGGAGGCAGCAGUGGGGAAUAUUGCACAAUGGGCGAAAGCCUGAUGCAGCGACGCCGCGUGAGGGAUGGAGGCCUUCGGGUUGUGAACCUCUUUCGCCAGUGAAGCAGGCCUGCCUCGUUUGUGGGUGGGUUGACGGUAGCUGGAUAAGAAGCGCCGGCUAACUACGUG
RNAcentral lists this ribosomal RNA (494 nucleotides) under uncultured bacterium. RNAcentral's name for it is "partial 16S ribosomal RNA". It matches the Rfam family "Bacterial small subunit ribosomal RNA", at positions 28 to 507 of the family's 1533-position model. The record is from RNAcentral.